AACGGCCGCGGUAUCCUAACCGUGCGAAGGUAGCGUAAUCACUUGUUCUUUAAAUGAGGACUAGUAUGAAUGGCACCACGAGGGUUAAGCUGUCUCCUUUUUCUAAUCAGUGAAACUAAUCUCCCCGUGAAGAAGCGGGGAUUAUACUAUAAGACGAGAAGACCCUAUGGAGCUUAAAACAAAUUAACACUUGCUUCUAUCCAUUUUUACUCCUGAACUAACACAUAAAAUAUAGCAUCGUUGAUUAAUAGUUUUCGAUUGGGGUGAUCAUGGAGUAAAAACCAACCUCCACGACGAAAAGGAACACUUCCCUGAGCUAAAAGCUACAACUUUAAGCACUAAAAAAUUAACGCACUUUGACCCAAAUUUUUGAGCAACGAACCAAGUUACCCUGGGGAUAACAGCGCAAUCCAUUUCAAGAGCCCCUAUCGACAAAUGGGUUUACGACCUCGAUGUUGGAUCAGGGUAUCCCAGUGGUGCAGCCGCUACUAAAGGUUCGUUUGUUCAACGAUUAAAACCCUACGUGAUCUGAGUUCAGACCGGAGAAAUCCAGGUCAGUUUCUAUCUAUAAAGGGCUUUUUCUAGUACGAAAGGACCGAAAAAGCAUGGCCAAUGAUCAAUUAAGCCAUAUAAAUUACUCAUGUUUUCAACUCAAUUAGAAACAAACCUACCAUAAACCUCAAAAAAAGAGAAGUUAACGUAGCAAAACCUGGCCCUGCAA
This 721-nucleotide ribosomal RNA is filed under the name Boana albopunctata (spotted treefrog). Its description in RNAcentral is "partial 16S ribosomal RNA". It matches the Rfam family "Bacterial large subunit ribosomal RNA", at positions 1926 to 2925 of the family's 2925-position model. Lineage: Eukaryota; Metazoa; Chordata; Amphibia; Anura; Hylidae. The record is from RNAcentral.